UACGUAGGGACCAAGCGUUGUUCGGAUUUACUGGGCGUAAAGGGCGCGUAGGCGGCGCGGUAAGUCACUUGUGAAAUCUCUGAGCUUAACUCAGAACGGUCAAGUGAUACUGCUGUGCUAGAGUGCGGAAGGGGCAAUCGGAAUUCUCGGUGUAGCGGUGAAAUGCGUAGAUAUCGAGAGGAACACCUGAGGUGAAGACGGGUUGCUGGGCCGACACUGACGCUGAUGCGCGAAAGCGUGGGGAGCAAACAGG
RNAcentral lists this ribosomal RNA (253 nucleotides) under uncultured bacterium. RNAcentral describes it as "partial 16S ribosomal RNA". It matches the Rfam family "Bacterial small subunit ribosomal RNA", at positions 524 to 776 of the family's 1533-position model. The record is from RNAcentral.